GACAGAGGGUGCAAGCGUUGUUCGGAAUUACUGGGCGUAAAGGGCGUGUAGGCGGUCAGGUAAGUCUGAUGUGAAAUCAUCAUCGCUUAACGAGAUGCCCGCAUCGGAAACUGCUUGACUUGAGUAUAGGAGAGGAUAACGGAAUUCCUGGUGUAGUGGUGGAAUAUGUAGAUAUCAGGAGGAACACCUGUGGCGAAGGCGGUUAUCUGGCCUAAUACUGACGCUGAGGCGCGAAAGCUAGGGGAGCAAACGGG
Molecule: ribosomal RNA, 254 nt
Filed under: uncultured bacterium
Lineage: Bacteria
Description: partial 16S ribosomal RNA
Rfam family: Bacterial small subunit ribosomal RNA
Source: RNAcentral